Long non-coding RNA from Chiroxiphia lanceolata (lance-tailed manakin), 431 nucleotides. RefSeq lists it as uncharacterized. The record is from RefSeq and is a predicted model, not a curated record. NCBI's taxonomy places the organism in Eukaryota, Metazoa, Chordata, Aves, Passeriformes, Pipridae. The transcript is spliced from 4 exons.
GGAGGGGACAGAGAGAGAAGAACACUGGUGUUUGCCUCCUCCGAUCGCCCGCCGGUCCCUAACCCCGCACCGUCGCCUGCGGCACGAGCUGCUGCCCCGCAGGUUGUAUCCUGACAAUCUGUCCUUAAAAAUGGGCAAACUGUGACUCCACACUCCCAGGAAUACAGCUGUGACUGCUCUGACUCCAUCACAGCCUGGAGAAUGGGAAGGGGAAAUUGCUGCCAUCGUUAAUAUCUUCAAGACGCUGAAUGACUGCCGGGACUUCGGAGGAUAUUUAGACCUAGGGUGGAGGAGUCACAGGCCUGUUCAAAGAGUUGUAUUCCAGGACUAUGAAUGUGCUGUGCUAGGGAACCAAGCUUUGUGUAUCCAAACACUCUGCAACUGGAAUGGUCUCUGCACAAUUCAUGGCAUCUUGUAAACAGCUUGAAGGA